This is a non-coding RNA of 332 nucleotides. It matches the Rfam family "Bacterial RNase P class A". Rfam says of the family: Ribonuclease P (RNase P) is a ubiquitous endoribonuclease, found in archaea, bacteria and eukarya as well as chloroplasts and mitochondria. Its best characterised activity is the generation of mature 5'-ends of tRNAs by cleaving the 5'-leader elements of precursor-tRNAs. Cellular RNase Ps are ribonucleoproteins. The record is from Rfam.
UUGGUACUUUGGUUAAUCGCAAGGGUAAAACUUUGAGGAAAGUCCGAACUUCAUAGGGCAGGAAGGCAGUUAAUGGCUGCUAGAAGUAAUUCUAAGGAAAGUGCCACAGAAAAUAGACCGCAAGAAAUUGUAAGGGUGAAACGGUGAGGUAAGAGCUCACCAGUGUCUUAGGAGACUAAGAUAGCUAGGUAAACCCCUUCUGAAGCAAGAAAAAUUAAAGAUAUAUCGGUUGCCCGCUGAGUCUUUGGGGUAUUCGCUUGAACCUAUACGCAAGUAUAAGUCUAGAAAAAUGAUUAACAAAUACAGAAUUCGGCUUAUAAAGUGCCAAGGAG